GUGGGGAAUAUUGGACAAUGGGCGAAAGCCUGAUCCAGCCAUGCCGCGUGAGUGAUGAAGGCCCUAGGGUUGUAAAGCUCUUUCACCGGUGAAGAUAAUGACGGUAACCGGAGAAGAAGCCCCGGCUAACUUCGUGCCAGCAGCCGCGGUAAUACGAAGGGGGCUAGCGUUGUUCGGAAUUACUGGGCGUAAAGCGCACGUAGGCGGACAUUUAAGUCAGGGGUGAAAUCCCGGGGCUCAACCUCGGAACUGCCUUUGAUACUGGGUGUCUCGAGUCCGGAAGAGGUGAGUGGAAUUCCGAGUGUAGAGGUGAAAUUCGUAGAUAUUCGGAGGAACACCAGUGGCGAAGGCGGCUCACUGGUCCGGUACUGACGCUGAGGUGCGAAAGCGUGGGGAGCAAACAGGAUUAGAUACCCCUGUAGUCC
This 425-nucleotide ribosomal RNA is filed under the name uncultured bacterium. RNAcentral describes it as "partial 16S ribosomal RNA". It matches the Rfam family "Bacterial small subunit ribosomal RNA", at positions 354 to 796 of the family's 1533-position model. The record is from RNAcentral.